Long non-coding RNA from Lolium perenne, 2782 nucleotides. RefSeq lists it as uncharacterized. The record is from RefSeq and is a predicted model, not a curated record. NCBI's taxonomy places the organism in Eukaryota, Viridiplantae, Streptophyta, Magnoliopsida, Poales, Poaceae.
UGGCAAUACUUACCGUCUUUUACUUGUGUUCAUUGUAGCUAAGGCUGAUGUUUUUUAAUUUUUGGCUACACGUGGUAUACCAGAUAGUGAGCUUGCUUGCAUUGGGUGACAACUUUUUCCAGCUGCACCACCAUGUUGAUUGCUGAAGUCUCAGAUCAUUUUUGCAUUUCUUCCCGCCAUAUACUUUAUUAUGAAUUGUAGGUUUUGAUUAGUCUUUUUUAAGGCAAACUUUUGUGUGAUGAUUUUCUCAUGGUGUAGUGAAGGAAAAAGAAGUUCUUGGACAAUGCAUUAUUGGCUUCUUUAGUAACAGAGUUCUUCUUCCUAGUCCUUUUUACAUUUUUUAUGAACUGUGUUAUAUCUGUCUUACUCUUUUUAUGAAAUGUUUGAAGAAGAAUUAUUGUAAUUUUGCAAGGGUGGCGAUGUCUAGACUGUGGCUUGUUGCAUGCACAUUUGCCCAUUUGAUUUGUAUAAGGAUUUAGUAUCUGGGAUUUUGUUCUUAUAAUUAACUUAAUGUGUGUCCAGCCUCAACCAUUCUAUUUCCUUCUGUUCUGUGUUUUUGUAGAGCAAAAUGCCUUAUUCACAUAGUGUUAAUAUGGGGGUGCAUUCCAUUUUUAUUACACCAAAUAUUUCUCUGAGGCGCUGAGAUUGCUGACGCCCCACCAAAAAAGGUUGUGAUUGCAAAAGUAUGGCUUCAGUUGUGUUCUUUUUUUUGUAUCAAAAUUGAAUUGCCCAUCUUGUUUUAUUCGCUGGAUUGUUUGGUUGUGUUGAUAUUGUGUCUUCCAAGAUUAUCGUUGAUCAAAAUGUUAUAUUGGUAUAUCAAAGAACUCAUAUUAGUAUAUCAAAGAACUCAGUUCACUAUCUUCUGGGAUUGCAUAAUAUGGCGCUGAAAUUUUGUCAAAUGGUGAAGGAUCUUGUUUUGUUCUACCUUAUGAUCUAAGUGACAAAAAUAUUUUGCUCAUGCUUCAUGUAUGUUGCCAUUACAUGUUUCAUAUGCCCCACCUCCAAGGGCCGAUGAAAUGUUAAAUACCUAUCAGCUUCCAAGAAAUUGAGGGAGCUAAUUAUUUUGUACUUCUGAUAUUAGUCGUCUUGUAUAUGCACGUUUCAUCAGUGAACUCAUUGAGACGGGGAAAUUUUAUGGGAGCAAGUGCAAAAGAAUGAGUUAUGUCACUACUUGCAGUGAGUUCUCUAUGCAAUCAUUUCCCUUUGUUAUGUCAAGGUGUUUCUCUUGUCUCAGGGUCUUUUAUCACGCAUGUUUAUUUCUAUUUUCUGUAUAAACCUGCACUGCUGACAUUUUCCUUCCUUGAUCAGGUGUACUAUCUACAUUUCUUGGACUUUGUGGUUCGAACAAUGGACCCGUUUGUCCCUAGAUUUGUUGCUUGCAAGGGGCAUAUUGUGAAAUAUUAUUCAGAGCUAGAUCACAAAACCCCACUCGCUCAGUUCAAUCGAUCAUUUGACCACCUACCUGCUCACUAUUGUGUGUGUGUGUGUGUGUGGAUGCAGCCACGCGUGAAGGCUUUCGGGAGAAGGCAGCUGAAAAUAAAUCUUGCAAGAUGAUAUAAGGAGGGUCGCAUGGCCAUGCUUUCAUUAAAUAUCUUUCGUUGCCUCUUGUGUGUAUACACCUGCAUAGCGAGGUUGUCUUGAACACCUUUGCUCUUCCUCUUUUCUGUUUGUGCAGGGUGUUUUAUCUACUGAAAAGGGUGACCAAGCAGUAUAUAUUUUGAAUGUUUUUCAUUGUCUUUCAACAAUAAGAUGCAUUUCGUUUUUUUAACAGGGAAGGCCCCAAAGGCCAAGAAGCUUCAGUAAACAGGGGUGGUCGGUGGAGUUACAAGUUACAGUAAGGCCACACAGAAAAAGUGAAAUUGCAACACUGCCCAACGUUUUUGCACAAAGGACACUGGAUGAAAACUGGAGCUUCACAACACACUGGAGCUUCACAACACAGUCAACGGAGGUGGGGACGGAGCCAAUUGGGAUGAGAUGGCGGGAGCAAGCUGUGCUGGAGCAGAGGAGCCUCCUUGAUGGCAUGUCAGCCUGGAAGCUGAGUAGAGCCGUCGUGCGCUGGCUGGAAGGAACCUAAGCCGACGAGUGAGGUGGGAGUGGUCGCCCUUUGACCAUCUGCAACCGUAGCAACCGUGGAACUGUCUUGGAUGAAUUCCUGGGAGUAGCUUCAGAACUCCCCUGGAGCAGAGUCGAUACCCAGCAGCAGAAGGCCUGUAUUUCUCCCCUCUCCAGAUCACCAUGAGCAGAGAGGGGGAUUUCCAUACGUUGACUGCCUUCAGUAGAUCUCUGGCUCUGACCAUCAGCGCGCCGCAUCGAGGAAAGUAACCACCAGCCGGCUCCAGAUCCCGGACCUGAAUAACGAGGUCAUUGAUGGUAUUUUUAAUAUUGUGAAGUUCUCCAAUAAAGCUGAGAUGGACACUAACAGAGAAUUUCUAGUAACAAAUGUUCCCUAAUUUCUGGCUGAAACCAGGGGAAUCUCCAAGGUCAAUGGAUGUACCAAAUGUUGUUCUACGAAGAACAAACUCCCACGCUUCACAAACGAUCAAAGUGCAAUGGAUACAACAGUGGAUUUUAAAUUCCAUACAGAACAGAACGGACACUGUAAAGAUGAUAUUGCAACUGGCUCUGUCACAAUUCAAGAGGAUAGCACGUGAAUUGUCGCACAAAUACAAAGGUACCAAUGCUAGUUUCACGAGUGGAAAUGGCUCCGGCAGGCUAGACAUUAAUGAUCUAGCACCUCUUGUUAUUCUAAGUGAUACUCUUCUGUUUUUAUUUAUGUUUG